Acanthopagrus latus (yellowfin seabream) is the source of this 2078-nucleotide long non-coding RNA. RefSeq lists it as uncharacterized. The transcript is spliced from 5 exons. The record is from RefSeq and is a predicted model, not a curated record. Lineage: Eukaryota; Metazoa; Chordata; Actinopteri; Spariformes; Sparidae.
CUUGACAGUGGUUUACUUUUAAUUUAUUAUGUUAAUAUUUAUUUUUGUAAGGAGCAAUAUUUUAAAUAAUCUAGUGUGUGGUUCUUUGACCUUAAAUGUUCAGCUGCUAGGACAGGAUUUAAGUGACAGAGCUGACAUGAUGUCAUCUCUGUUUGUCGGUCAACAUUUGAGGUGAUGAGGGCGGCACAUGACCAGGAUGUAUGUCUUAUUGACCUUAUUUAUAAAAAUAAUAAUAUGUAUAAUAAUGUAUUUAUUUUUAGAGCACCUUUAAAAACAGUUUACAUCUUUAGUUUCAUUAUGAUUUUGAUGAUUUACCACACAGGCAGUUGAGAGUCACAGUAAAGUUCAGUCCAGCCUGCUGAGAUACGAAUCACAAAACAAAAGGUGAAACACCUGAAAACAAAGGAGAAGAAAUGGAGGAGGGACGGAGGACAGUGUGUUCUUUAGUGUUUAACGAUGAGUCGGUGCGUCUCGUCUCAAAGACGCACAGCAACCACAGAUUCAGACCCAUCGAUGAAGCUGCACAGGGUCUUAAAUAAGAGCUCCAGAAGUCCCUGAAGCCCUUACAGGAGAACCUAAAGGUCUUUGAACAAGUUAAAGGAAACUGAGCUCAAACAGCAGAAGGCAUCAAGGUCCAGGCCCGACACACAGAGGUGCAGAUCAAAGAGCAGUUUAAGAGCUUCAUCAGUUUCUACAAGAGGAAGAGGAGGCCAGGAUCUCUGCUCUGGGCAGAGAAAUAGCGGCACUUUCACAGUCAGAGCCACAGAGGAGGAUCAGACAGCUGAAGACGUCUCAAUCCUGCAGAACUACAAGGCUGAAGUGAAGAGAGUCCAGCAGCGCCUCCUGCUGGAGGAUCCACAGCUGGUCUCAGGAGCUCUGAUAGACCAGGCCAAACAUCUGGGCAACCUGAGCUUCAACAUCUGGAAUAAGAUGAGGGACACGGUCUCCUACACUGCUGUCAUUCUGGAUCUGAACUCUGCUCAUCCAGAACUCCUCCACUGUUUGUCUGUGAUGAUAACUGUGCUGAUGAUGAGGACUGUGGUGAUCAAGCAAUGUGUUCUCCCACUGAAGUUUAUCAGGAAAUAAUGUCUCUGCAACAGUGAAACUAAAAUGACCUGAUUGGACAGAGUCUCUUUGAUUACCUGCAUCCUAAAGACACUGGCGUAGUGAAGGAGCAGCUGUCCACAGCGGUUACCAGUACACAAGAAAGAAUCAUCGAUGCAAAAAGUAAUCAACGAUCAAGGGAGGAUGGGUGUCCUAACAGAGACUGGAACGAGGACAGGCGCUGGGAGGACUGGGCAGACGAUUGCAGAGGAACCGUUGGAAAUCCAGAGGAUGGACAUGUCCACUGUGAUCUCAGAGGGCCGGCCGGUGUUGGAGGAGAUGGUCUCAUCUGACGGGUGGAGAAUAUGGAUGAAGAGAAGAAAAGAGGCAACUGGUGUGAUCGUCUCUUGAGUGGCCUACAUAUAUGCCACCAAACAUAUUAUUGAUGAGGCUGGUUACUAUGACCGCACCAAUACACUGUUUCUUGAUACCCAUUUGUGUUAUUUUGAACAAAGGUUUCUUCUCUUUGCCACAAGAAGAGGUAAAGAAAGCUUUCAGGGAGUUACAACAAAAUAAGAGAAAUAUCAAAAGAUCUGUCCUGAUGUGAAGAACCUCUGUUAGUUUUCCUGUGCAGUCAUUAAGAUGUAGCCAGUCAUUAUUUGUCCAACAUAUGAUAAGGCUAUAAUAGUCUAAGGACAUAAAUCUCUCUGAUUGAUUCUUGUUUUGAAGGAUUUGCUUUUGGCAUUUAAUCUGUCUUUGGUUUUUGCUUCUGCACUAACUAGAUGAAGCAUAUAAUCUGUACUUACAGUUAGAGCCAAGUUGUGUUAAUUUUCAAAUUGCUUUACUUUUCAUUUAAUCCAAAUCUAAACCUGAUCAUGGCCGUAGACAAAAGCUCUUAUUGGGUUUGCUUCUGGACUCUGGUAUUCCCUUGGUACCAUCUGCACACCAGCAGCACAUUGUCUCGUUGACUUUUAUCCAUUGGGAAAAAGACACUAUGCAAUCCGUGAUCCAUUCUGGUUAAGACUUCCCUCUUC